GAUGAACGCUGGCGGCGUGCCUAAUACAUGCAAGUAGAACGCUGAAGGAGGAGCUUGCUCUUCUGGAUGAUUUGCGAACGGGUGAGUAACGCGUAGGUAACCUGCCUGGUAGCGGGGGAUAACUAUUGGAAACGAUAGCUAAUACCGCAUGACAACAGUUAUUGCAUGAUAACUGUGUAAAAGGGGCAACUGCUCCACUACCAGAUGGACCUGCGUUGUAUUAGCUAGUUGGUGAGGUAACGGCUCACCAAGGCGACGAUACAUAGCCGACCUGAGAGGGUGAUCGGCCACACUGGGAAUGAGACACGGCCCAGACUCCUACGGGAGGCAGCAGUAGGGAAUCUUCGGCAAUGGACGGAAGUCUGACCGAGCAACGCCGCGUGAGUGAAGAAGGUUUUCGGAUCGUAAAGCUCUGUUGUAAGAGAAGAACGAGUGUGAGAGUGGAAAGUUCACACUGUGACGGUAUCUUACCAGAAAGGGACGGCUAACUACGUG
This 495-nucleotide ribosomal RNA is filed under the name uncultured bacterium. RNAcentral describes it as "partial 16S ribosomal RNA". It matches the Rfam family "Bacterial small subunit ribosomal RNA", at positions 28 to 507 of the family's 1533-position model. The record is from RNAcentral.